GAUGAAGAACGCAGCGAAAUGCGAUAAGUAAUGUGAAUUGCAGAAUUCAGUGAAUCAUCGAAUCUUUGAACGCACAUUGCGCCCGCUAGUAUUCUGGCGGGCAUGCCUGUUCGAGCGUCAUUAUAUACCCUCAAGCCCCCUGGCUUGUUGUUGGGGACCUGCCGCAUGGCCGCAGGCCCCGAAGUACAGUGGCGGGACGCCCGCGACCCCGAGCGUAGUAGCAUAACCUCGCCCUGGGAGUCGUUGGGUGCAGCCCGGCCGUUAAAUAACCAGGACCACUGCCGUAAGGCCGUGGCCCUCCUAAGUUGACCUCGGAUCAGGUAGGAAUACCCGCUGAACUUAAGCAUAUCAAUAAGCGGAGGA
RNAcentral lists this unclassified non-coding RNA (363 nucleotides) under soil metagenome. RNAcentral describes it as "partial contains 5.8S ribosomal RNA, internal transcribed spacer 2, and large subunit ribosomal RNA". The stretch from base 1 to 120 matches the Rfam family "5.8S ribosomal RNA", at positions 35 to 154 of the family's 154-position model. The record is from RNAcentral.